This 2822-nucleotide long non-coding RNA is filed under the name Cyanistes caeruleus (blue tit). RNAcentral's name for it is "lncRNA (ENSCCEG00000018637.1)". The record is from RNAcentral. Lineage: Eukaryota; Metazoa; Chordata; Aves; Passeriformes; Paridae.
AUUGGAAUCAUCACAUGGAUUACCUGGAAGUAAUGAAUGAUGGCUUGAAAUUCUUGGAGGAUGUUGGAGGCAAGUUCUCAAUACAUCAUUCCUGACAGACUAAUCAGUGUCAAGGUGGCAAGAGCUCAGCCAUGUGCCAUUUCCCUUAACAUAAUCUCAGGGGUGAUGGAUUCUGGAAACUUUGUCCCACUGGAGUGGGACAGUGAUCCCACAGGAUCAAUGUUAGUGGGAGGAAGGAGCAUUUAGCUGUCAAUCUUGAUCCCAUGUGCAAUGCCAGUGUCUCUUUCCGUGUGCUCUGUGCAGCCACGGAGAAGAGCAGAGAGGGAAUGGGCCAGGCUCAGGGCUGUGCCCCGGGGCUGUGCCUUGUGCGGUUCCUUUGCUGGCCCUAGGGAGCCUGAGGAUCUCCUACAGAGCCACAGGAGCUGUUCUGUCCUGCCUCUCUUUGCAGCCAAGCCUCUCGGUGAAGGUGAUGCAGCUUCCCAACCCACACCCAGGACUGAGGCUCUGGGAGAUGGUGAGGUUACAGGUGUGUCUGCAGGGAGGACUUUGCCAGCUCCUGGGAUGGUUACUGCACACAAGCCCAGCUCCCAUCACAGGGGUCUUCCAAGAGAGAAAACCCAAAAUACAGCAGAAGAGAAAUCCCUGAAACAAUCUGAAAUUAUACGGCAAAUGCUGAAGGAAAUGCUGCAGGGAGGGCAAGGAAUGAAACGAGAGCCUGUGCAGCAGGAAACAUUCCCUGAAGGAAUCAUUGAUUCUGUGCCUAACUCUGCUGCAGGAAGGGAGGCCAUGCCAGGCACAGUAACACAAGAUAAGUCUCGGGGCAAAGCUUCUCCAAUAGCUUGGCUGCAUAAAGUUGUGAAGCCCUCUGCGCCUCCUGCAGUUACAGGUAUGUCUGCAAGGAGGAUUGUCCCAGCUACAGGGUUGGUUACUGCACCCACGACUGGCUCCCAUCACAGUGGUCCUCCAAGAGAGAAAACCCAAAAUACAGCAGAAGAUAAAGCCCUGAAACGUUCUGAACUUAUAUGGCAAAUGCUGAAGGAAAUGCUGCAGGGAGGGCAAGAAAUGAAACGAGAGCCUGUGCAGCAGGAAACAAUUACUGAAGGAAUCAUUGAUUCUGUGCCAGCCUCUGCUGCAGGAAGGGAGGCCAUGCCAGGCACAGUAACAAAAGAUGAGGUUCCUGGCAAAGCUUCUCCAUUAGCUUGGCUGCAUAAAGUUUUGAAGUCCUCUGCGCCUCCUGCAGGUGUGUCUGCAGAGAGGACUUUCCCAGCUCCUUUGCUGAUUAGUGUGCAGAAGCCCCACUUCCAUCGCAGGGGUCCUCCGAGUGACAAGGACAAACGUAUAGAAGAGAAGGAAUUCCCGGAGUCAAACAACAUCCAGAAACAAAUUGUGGAGGAACUGCAGAAAGGGCCUGACAUGCACCUAGAGGUUCUGUGGAAGGCAGCAUUUCCUGCAGGCAGCGGUCACUCGUCGGCAGCCUCUGCUGCAGGAAGGAAUGGGAUGGCACACAUGAGUACAGGCCCAGACACAGGAGAUUCGGAUGCUGGGAAGGCUCCUCCCUUUGCUUUGAGAUAUGAAGAUUUGAAGCCCUCUGGGACACCUGCAGUUACAGGUGUGUCUGCAGAGAGGAUUUCUCCAGCUCCUGGGCUGGAUGCUGCACACAAGCCUGACUCCCAUCCCAGCGUUCCUCCAACAGAAAAGACCAAAUACACCUCAGAGAAGAAAUCCCUGGAGUCAUUUGAAGUCAUGUGGCAAAUGCUGAAGAAAAUGCUGCAGGGAGCACAAGAAGUGCAUGAAGAGGCUGUGCUGAAGGCGGUGUUUCCCGGAGUAAGCAGUGGCUCACUGGCAGCCUCUGCUGCAGGAAGGGAGGCCAUGCCAGGCACAGUCCUAGGAGAUUGGGAUCGUGAUAUGGAUUAUGUGGAAGCCCUGGUGGAAAAUGGCUUGAAAUUCAUGGAGGAUGUUGGAGCCAAGCCUCUAGAUGAAGGUGAUGCAGCUUCCCAACCCACACCUAGGACUGAGGCUCUGGGAGAUGAUGAGGUUACAGGUGUGUCUGCAGGGAGGACUUUGCCAGCUCCUGGGAUGGUUACUGCACACAAGCCCAUCUCACAUCGCAGGGUGGUGGACCAAAAGGCUGAGCUCCAGGAGGCAUUUCCCGGAGGAAGCAGUGGUUCAUUGGCAGCUUCUGCUGCAGAAAAGAAGGCGAUGCCAGGCACAGGCCCAGAUACAGGAGAUACAACCAGCACAACACAAGUUCCUGAUUCAAAGAAGGACAUUGAAAGGGCUUUCUGUCAGGGAAUGUUCUGCUGGAUAGAGCUAAUAGCAGGCGUGCUAUGUUUGGAGCUUAUCAUCAUGUUGUGCUGCUUUGGAAUCUGGUAUGCCUGUAAGAGAAAACGGAGGACUGCUGAACAGCAUUUGAAGUACAGUGGGUGCACUAAACACCCAGACAGCUCGAGCAGCACCUCUGGGAGUAAUAAGGGCCUGGGCAGCCCUCUGAAGAACUCUGAGAGGAGGAUCCCGGAACACUAUCUCUGAGGAAACCUCUUAUAACCCUGUAGAUCCCACUGCCCUCUCUUUUUCCCAUGGAUAUCCCCAAGGUCCCUUCACUUCCUUUUUUGGUCUUCCUCUGCCCCAACCUAACCCAUCCUUAGUUCUUGUAGAGACCCCAGGACCAGCCCAGCAACCUCCGGCCCCAGCUGGGACCAACAUGGUCCUUCCUCUGUCCCUGAGCCCCCUGGCCCUGCCCUUAAACAGCACUGAGCUGAGUGAGCCCAUCUGCCAGUGUAGGUGAUGGCCCCUUCUUCUCUUCAAAUAAAUAAAUGUAGCUG